This 497-nucleotide ribosomal RNA is filed under the name uncultured bacterium. Its description in RNAcentral is "partial 16S ribosomal RNA". It matches the Rfam family "Bacterial small subunit ribosomal RNA", at positions 28 to 507 of the family's 1533-position model. The record is from RNAcentral.
GAUGAACGCUGGCGGCGUGCCUAAUACAUGCAAGUCGAGCGAACAGACGAGGAGCUUGCUCCUCUGAUGUUAGCGGCGGACGGGUGAGUAACACGUGGAUAACCUACCUAUAAGACUGGGAUAACUUCGGGAAACCGGAGCUAAUACCGGAUAAUAUAUUGAACCGCAUGGUUCAAUAGUGAAAGACGGUUUUGCUGUCACUUAUAGAUGGAUCCGCGCCGCAUUAGCUAGUUGGUAAGGUAACGGCUUACCAAGGCAACGAUGCGUAGCCGACCUGAGAGGGUGAUCGGCCACACUGGACCUGAGACACGGUCCAGACUCCUACGGGAGGCAGCAGUAGGGAAUCUUCCGCAAUGGGCGAAAGCUUGACGGAGCAACGCCGCGUGAGUGAUGAAGGUCUUCGGAUCGUAAAACUCUGUUAUUAGGGAAGAACAAAUGUGUAAGUAACUAUGCACGUCUUGACGGUACCUAAUCAGAAAGCCACGGCUAACUACGUG